CAGUAGCCGCGGGAAUACGUAGGGUGCAAGCGUUAAUCGGAAUUACUGGGCGUAAAGCGUGCGCAGGCGGUUCUAUAAGACAGAUGUGAAAUCCCCGGGCUCAACCUGGGAACUGCAUUUGUGACUGCAGAGCUGGAGUGCGGCAGAGGGGGAUGGAAUUCCGCGUGUAGCAGUGAAAUGCGUAGAUAUGCGGAGGAACACCGAUGGCGAAGGCAAUCCCCUGGGCCUGCACUGACGCUCAUGCACGAAAGCGUGGGGAGCAAACAGGAUUAGAUACCCGCGUAGUCCCUGUCUCUUAUAC
This 301-nucleotide ribosomal RNA is filed under the name uncultured bacterium. RNAcentral describes it as "partial 16S ribosomal RNA". It matches the Rfam family "Bacterial small subunit ribosomal RNA", at positions 509 to 807 of the family's 1533-position model. The record is from RNAcentral.